CACUCAAGGAGAUUCUGUAUAAGAGCCCAGUAGGGAGCCAUGCAUAGCAUGUGAACCAGGGUUGACUGACGAAAUCGUCUGGACAACUCAAGUCGAGAUGGUGUCGUGGACAUUCCUUCUCAUAGUGGUGGUAUUGGCAGUGUUCGACGGCCAGGUAGAAUCGAGGCAAGAGGCAUCUCAACUCGCCGGUGGGCCUUCGAACGCUCGUUCGCAGAACUCCGUUCCUCGCCUCUUACAAGGACAAGCACUAGGGCUCUCGUGUGAUGGAUCUUGCAUCGGGACGCCACGUGACUGCCUAUUCAAUCCACUGUGUUUUUGUACCAACGGCGCUCUAUUUCCGGUGUGUGCCAGGAGGCACGGUUACUGAUAAUCAGCACCCAAGAAACAGAAAUUAAGCUUGCAAUAAAAAAGGUGCCUCCUUCAAGGAGGUUUUGA
Long non-coding RNA from Ornithodoros turicata, 435 nucleotides. RefSeq lists it as uncharacterized. NCBI's taxonomy places the organism in Eukaryota, Metazoa, Arthropoda, Arachnida, Ixodida, Argasidae. The transcript is spliced from 3 exons. The record is from RefSeq and is a predicted model, not a curated record.